Xyrichtys novacula (pearly razorfish) is the source of this 10822-nucleotide non-coding RNA. NCBI's taxonomy places the organism in Eukaryota, Metazoa, Chordata, Actinopteri, Labriformes, Labridae. The record is from the annotation of a GenBank genome assembly.
UCUUUCUGUUCCGCUGUGGAUUGCCGGACUCCACAGCUGAUCGCAUGAGUUCUAUAUUUUCCUGACGCCGGAGCAUGCCAGAUAAAUUCAGCACAGAUUAACCUGUGCUGGAAAGGAAGUCGGGCACAGACACAAAAUAAAACAUCCGUCUUCUUUUCAAAAUUAAACACUCCAUGUUUCAGGCGGAUCUUAUUUCACACCAUGCAAACGGGCGAGGACGAACAAGUGAAAGGUUUAUGACAGCAUUUCAUCCUGAUGACACCAUGGAUGAGGAGAUGCUGAUUUUAUAAGUCGAGAAGUAGAUUUCCUCCUCUGGAAGGACACAAUCUACUGCUUCUAUGGUUAGCCUAUGUGGCUAAAAACAACUAGUUAUUGUGUGAUUUCACAUGAAUCUGCGGGUUUUUGUGAGUUCUCGCGAUUCCUGCUGUCCGUAAUCCGACACGAAAUUCGCCUCACAUACGGAUCCAGUAAGAAUUGGCCUACGGCGAAAAUCGCUGCCGUUCCGGUUACGGUGAAAAUCUCAGGUUAGAACAUACUUAUAAGAGUGGUAAAGGCAAAAGUCCCUCGCAGGAGCUUUGAAUAAACAUUGAGGAGGGUACAUAUUUAGCUCAGUAACUAUCAGCACCGUUCAUCUAUCUGUCCUUUUGAACAUGGAAAGAUAAUUCAAGAUAAAUAUGUAAAGUUGACAUUAUAGAAGUCAAAUAUAAAUCCAUUAUUCUAUACACAUUGCUCUUUUAACAGACAUGGUUAUCUGAGCUGGUGACAUGUUUCAGAUGGAAAAAUACAUUAAGUUAUGUAAUAGGUUCCAGAUCAUAACUGAUAGAGGCAAUAGGCAAUAUUAAACUGCAUUAUUCCAUAUAUCUGAACAGGAUUUAUAAAAACACUUGCCAGUAAGAGUUUUAGAUUUGAUUUGCUGUCAUUGGGGAUAGAAGACGAUGAUCGUUACACUGAUUCUGCAAUGCUUAUUAUUUAAAAAAAGCAAUUAAUUGGCCAAAUGGCGACUCAGUCUGACUCUAAUUUGCAUUAGAGCGCAGCACAAAUGCAUCAAAAACACGGUAAGUUAUUUUUAUUCCAUCAUAUUUCAUCCUGUAUAUGACAAAGACAUUCUCCAGGCUUGCAGGCAGCUGUGUUUAAAGGAAGAUUCACUCACUGAACACUGACUGCUCUACGCUUUCUUGUAACACCUCAGUGACCCAGAAUAUAGCUUCCUCCAGUAAAUACAAUAACAAAAGCUUUGCACCCUUCAAAGGAGAGGGGAGUGCUGUGUGAAGCCGUUUAUACUUUCUCAUUGAUUCAUAAACAGGUUUCAUUUUCACAGCCUGCUAUACAACCUCAAACACAGCAGCACAAAUAUAUCUACAAUACAGAGAAGUCUCCUCUGGGGAAGGCAAGGCUGUCCAGGAGUCAGAAAAUAUAAUAUAGGAGGAGAAUAUUAAUGUUUCCUUUACUACGAUUUAAAUCAAAGCUGUUAUUUUUAUUAUUGUUGUCCCUCUCUAAGAUAAAUGGGGUGAUAAAAAGAAAAAAAAAGAAAAAAAAAAUGCCCGCUUCGGUCCCGUUGACAUUUUAGGGAGUCCUUUUGGAGCAGUAAAGAUGCCCACAUGAUGGAUACCAGAGCUCUGUAGAAAAACCGAGGGGUGCUCACGAAUGCAGAGGCGGACAAGCAAAAAGAAACACAAGGUCUGAACACAGAGGAAAGGGUAGGGGUGAGGACGGGUAACAGAAGAGUGAAGAAAAACAGCAGUGGGAAGACAAGAAAAAGAGAGCGACAAGCAGAAAAAGUCCAUCAGCAAGAAAACUCCAGGACAGCGCAGAACAGGGAGAGCUACAUGCAGAGAGAGCUGUACAGAGAGAGAGACGAAACAGACAGCCACAGCAGCAGCCGUCAAGCAGAAAAGAUGAAAAACCAUAGAAAAACUCGACAAGUUGACACCCUCUCCUCUUUGUCUCUUCUUCUCUGUUUUCAGCACACCGGCCUGCAGAGAGGCUCCCCAGAGGCAAGUCUGCAUUUCAGCUCCUGCCACAGCAGCCUCCUCUCUUUUUUUGGGCACCCUUCACGUAGCCUAGCCUCUCCUGGGCUCUGCGAGACAGGUAGGGCAUCACCCCAUUCACUGACCCUUGUGGGACGGACUUAUAGACCGGGAAGUCGGGCUGACCUGUGAGAGAAGUGGGUCAGAUGAGAGGAUACAAGAGGACAGGCACAAUAUGGCGGGAUAUGCGGGGUCCAAAAUAAACUUUUUGACUCGUGGGUCAAGGUGGUGGGUGUACAAAAUCCACCGGGCAAUCCAACUUUUUACCAGCCAAAGUGAUAAAUGGCUUUUUGGUAUCACAUUCACGUUUGUUACAGCAUAUUCCAUACAGACAGAGGAGUGUCAUGUUCAAUACAAACUUAGACGCAAGAGCAUAUGUGAAGCAAAGUAACAUUAAUUAAUCCAUUUAAAUCUGAAUCCAUCUCACUGUACGCAGGUAGUGAUGCUUGAUUUUCUCAGUUUGCAGAAGUAGUAGUCUCUAAGUCAAACUUGGCUUAAACACUUAAAAACCAGAACAUGUCUUGUCAGGGACACUUCAGUGCAUUGCAGAAAAUAACAAGCUGACUUGAACACCACAAUUUUUUCCUGUUGGCUUCUUCUCCAGCUGGAGUUGGUACACUGAUCGCUCGGUCUAGAAACGUGGCACAGACCCGCUGUAGCUCGGGUGUGAGGCUAUUUUCACUGGGUUUGCUGGUCUUUUUGUAUUUUCUCUAGAGCAAAGAAGGACAGUAAUCAACAGUAUUUAAUACUACCGGACUGCUUCCCCUGCAAAAACGGCUCCUCAGACCUCAGCAAGCAGGAGAUCUAACCCCCCAAUUAUCACCACAUCCAGAAUGGCUCUGAUCUGGAACGGCAGCAAUUUUUGCCGUUUGCCAAUUCCUGCCGGAUCCGUUUGUGAGGCCAAUUUUGUGGCGGGUUAUGGACAGCAGGAAUCACGAGAACUCAAAGGAACCCGUGGAUUCACGUGCAAUCAAGCGAUAACAAGUUGUCUCUAUAAAGACAACCACGUAGGCUAACCAUAUAAGCAGUAGAUUGUAUCCCUUCAGAGGAGGAAAUCUACUUCUUGACUUAUAAAAUCAGCAUCCUCCCAUCCAUGGUGUCAUCAGGAUGAAAUGCAGUCUAUAAUCUUGGACUUGUUCGUCCUCACCCGUUUGCAUGGUGUGAAAUAUGAUCUGUCUGAAACAUGGAGUGUUUUAUUUGAAAAAAAAGCCGGAUGUUUUAUUUUGUUUCUGUGCCCGACUUCCUUUCCAGUACAGGUUAAUCUGUCCUGAAUUUAUCUGGCAUUCUGUGGCAUCUGGAAAAAACAGAACUCUUGCGAUCAAUUGCGGAGUCUGGCGAUCCACAGCGAAAUGGAAAGAAGCCAGUGGAAAUUGACACAUUAGCUUGAAUGGUUAUGAUCAGUUAUGAUCGGGGGAUACAACCUUUUCGUAACAGUUCCGGAUGCGGUAGAAAUUGGGGGGUAAAGGGCCAGCAUCGAGUGUGCAACAAAAGUAUUUUCUUGCCUCAGUCACACUCUUGUUUUGUCUGGUUUUGCUGCACUUCUCUGUUUGUUUGAAUGUGUUGGGAGGCUUUUAUUGUCAGUGAAGGAUAUGGCUGCUGUGCAUGUAUGUGAGUCUGAUGCGUCAUUUGUCGGAACAGGGGACGGUCUUAAGCUUCUGCUCACCUCCCUGCUGUCCUCUCUCAGGCUCACAUUCUGGGACCGUGUUUCAAGCCAGGGUUUAUCAGACUCAUUGUUAUCAGUGUCUUUUACUCACCUGUAAUUGCUCAGCGUCUUCUAAACAUUAAAGAUUGAUGGCAGAAGAAGUAGCAGCCAGAGAACAAAGAUCUCAGCUCCUGUUGGUUCAUUACACGUAACAGCGUCUUUAUUGUUCGGAGAUCCUUGCACACGGCCCUGACUGCUCUAUCCCCGGAGAAAACCUCAAAGUAACACGUGUGUCUGUUUGCAUCAAUACUGGUCAAGACUGUUUCAACUUCAGCUCCACAUUGACAGACAACUGCCUGCCGCCGCCGCCGCGCCUGCCUCUGACUGACAAACAAAGUGUCGAGAGCCAGCAGCGACGCUUUGCUGAGACAGCUUGUCAAUACGGAGGUGUCGCAGUCUAUAUGUCACGCUACGAGCUGCAGACUGACUUCUACAUCUGCUCUCCAUCCAGAGAGAGAGUGGACUGCGGGGCGUAUGUGUGUCGCUCUGAGCUUUUAAAAGAUGCAGCUGAGCAUUAGGAGGAGGGUGCUGAAUACAGAUCCUGCAGAGGCUGAACUUAAACUGUCAAAUCAUCCUUAUGUAGGGCGGGAACACCAGGUGCCGACUCAUUGCAGGUUGUGUGAGAGAGUGCAUUUGUGUGUUUCUCACCCAAUGGGGAGCUGAUUUGAUCACACAUGCCCAGCAGUUGAGCAGAGUACACCUUGUUCUCUGCGGGUGAAAGACUCAGCUCAUUCAUACUGAAUGAGAGAGGCUCACAGAAAUAACUUUGUUUUCACUCAGAUGCAAAGUUGUGAAAAUACAGAUCAAUGCUGAGUGUGUUUCCAGCAUCCAACCUCUUAAAGGGUUGUUUUACUGUGUCUUUGUCAAGUGAUACUCAACAAAGGCUGUUUAUCUGGGCUGUUGACUUUGGAAGAGUUGUGAAAUAACUAUAUUAUUCUCUACUUAAGGAUUCACCAUAACAUAUCAAAGAACUUCAUGUGUAGGAUUGGUAGAGGGGAUUGGUAGAGAAACAAUUCUUUCUCAUAAGCAAGUAAGCCUUUUAGGGCCUGAUCUACUAAGAUUGAAAAUAGCGAGUGCUAAAUUGUGUGUGCAAACUGAAAAUUGCACAUGCUGUUAGUGGGCGUGUUGCAGAGGAUCUACUAUCAUUGUGUGCACAAUUGAUAGCGGGAGCAAAAUUGGUGCAGACCAUCCUCUUUAGAGCAUCCUUUGGCUAAUUCUGGCAUAUUCACAUGUAUAUGUUCAUUAAUAUGCGCUAUCCCUUCUAAAUAAAAGGAAAAAAAGUUGUACAUACACAAGGCAAUUCAAAGUGCUUACAGAUGCAAGAAAAUAUACUAGAAAUCAAAAAAGGGAUUAAAACUAUUUAAAAUCAAUGACAAACAGGUAAUUUUUUUCAUCUGUUCCGUGUUUGACCUUUUUAUUUAUGAAAAUCGUCAUUUACCAGAAAAACGUAAUAAAUCACAAGCUUUUGGACAAGGAUCAUGGCGUCUAUCAUGGCACUUCUGCAUCCUUCUCCCCACAAUGUAAUGUGUAAUGCUGCUCCAGUUUGCACGUGCCUCUCAAACGUGCUAAAUAUAGACGCAAAACAGUGACUGCAAUCGGUUUGAUAAAUCACAGUGUAGGUGCUAAGUGAUUCCCUUUGCAUCUGCUCCUCCCAGAAUUUUCGUGUUCUGAUGAUCUACAUAAAUUAUGCAUAUUCAUGAAAGCAAACACGCAAAAUCAAUUGUCUGCGCUGUUUUGCUCAUUUGACAGACGCAGUCCUCGGUGCACCCGGUUAGUUGAUCAGGUUUGCUUGACCCCCCCCCCCCCCCAAAAAAAAAAAAAAGAAAAGAAAAGUUUGCUUUGUUUUGUACAAUACCUUUCUGUGUUCAAUUUAUUUUGAAAGAUUUAUACUUUUAUUUCUAUAUGUGUACAUGCAUGCGUUUUGUUUAGGGGUUGAGCAGGGAGUGUUUUGGAGGGCCACCAAGCAAAAUCUUACUUAGGACCACCAACAUCCACCAGCCGGCCCUGCAUUCCCACCCCCUGCUUUAACACAGCAGCCAAAAUUGUGUCUGUUCUACAUUGAUGUUUACUUCAAAUCUAAUGGUACACUUGAGGGUGGCCUUUGUGCUAAGUGUAUUGAUCUCCACAGGGGUGGUUUCUUAGAGCUCGCAUUAAUCCAGGACUUGAAGAAAUUUGUAACAGCACAGCACCCUGGAGCGGGACAGUAGUCUGUAACCUGUAAAGGCGUAAAUCAGUAAGGUCAGAAUCUGUCAGAACUUCAAUUCAAAGAGCCCGUCAAACACUGUGAUGUGGAUCUCAGGAUGGCCACUGUAAAGCUGUGAAUCACAUUAAAAAUCCAGAGAUGCUGAGGGUAAAAAUGGCAUGUUGAUAUGGUGUUGGUGUGAAGGACAACUUUUAUGUGUUUCAUUGUCCCAAUCCCAACUUUUUGUCUGGCACUGAUUUUUAAAAAUUUUUUUUUAGUUGAAACAUUUGAUAUAUCGUCUUAGAACCAAAGAGUUAUGUUUGUAACUCUCCUUUUAGUUCUGAUACUUAAAAUCUCCUUCUGCCUCAUAACUCUAAAUUUUCUCCAUCAGGCUUUGAAUUUGGUUGAAAGAUUCUCUGAUUAUUUUUAACUACCUUUGACCAGUGAUUGCCUCUCUCUUUCAGUUUCCUGGGUCACUAACCUCUGUGUUUGGGACGAGCUGCGGCACUGAUGUAUUUGUUCUGUCAUCUAUUAAGCUGUUCCAGUGGAGCAUGCCAGCGGUUCUGUCAAGGCAGAGGAUUCAAAGGCUCGGCGUUCCAGCCGCAGCCUGCUGCUGAGUCGGAGAUUUAACAGCAUCAAGGUCGUGUCUCUUUACUUUUCAGUCACUCUCGACCCGAGCAUGUCCUUGUAGAUUUAUUUGUAAUAGUUCCACUAAAAUAGUAUGGAGCUUCAUUUUCUAUUUCACUGUCCAGUUUAAAGGAUGUUUUCGUUCAAAGAAUGUAUUCCAUUGAUGUAGAUUUCUUUUGUUCGGAUAGUUAUGAAAAACUUGAGUUGUGUUUCAGACAGAGAACCUUUUUUUGUCGCAGAUUUUAUCUGCAAAGCUUGGAAGACAAGGCAGAGUAUAAUGUUUCAAAGCUAGCUGUACAAAAAAAAACAUGCAACUUUAUGACCAUUUAUAAUAAUUUGAAAUAUUUAAAGUCCUGUAAUGGUAUUUUUUGGUGUCCUGUUAACCCAUUGGGAUUAUUCCUAAAUAAAGUUCAAGUUCAAGUAGUUAGGUGAAGCUGAUGUAGCCUUCAAACUCCAUUUUACUACAUCUACUUUACACAGAAUACUGCUGCAAAGUUACAAAUCGGCAAGUUUUAUUCCCAUAGGGUAAGGUAAAUCCAAAUUAAAUCACAACAUGGAUUAAGAUAUAUCGUGUGUGUAUUGUCAUGGUAUCAGACUUUAACCCCACAUUUACAGGGGCCACAACAUAUCAUGGUAAUGCCUCUAUUACAAUAUGUUACUGAAAACCUCAAAAUAAAACAACAUUCUCUCUCUGCCGCUGGAACUUUGAUCCACACUUUUGUCACAUCCAGAAUCAAUUACUGCAGUAGUAUCUUGUUUGGUUCACCCUCCAAAAUGGUCAAUAAAUUAAAAUACAAUUAAAACUCUGCCACUCACCUUCUCACCCACACCAUUUCACCUGACUAACACAAUAUAUUUAAAGCAUAAACAAUUAAUAAAAACCCCACCAGCGUUCACCUCAGCUUGCCUUUAACCCAGCAAGCAGGAGCGUCUUCGUACUGUGUUUCCCAUUAUUGGACCAGAUGAUUUUCCGCUUCACAAUCAAAAACUUCAAAUGAUCUUAGAGGUGGUGCAAACCAUGAAUUAUAACCAUAAACAAUGAAUUAUAACCCUGAGAAUGUUUUCCUCAGCUUCCAUAUUUCCUUUGCGCAGAUGGGCUGCUGCGGCUCUUCAUGGUUGAGUGUGAAGGAGGCAGUGGCAGGAUCUUGCUGACCUGCUCCACUUUUCUUAUGACAAGAUUGGACCAUACGGUUUUCUGCUCUACAACCAAAAUAUUUUCUGGUCUCCAGCAUGAAGACAACAACAGAGUUUUAACCAAAAUCAAUAAAAUAAAAACCCAGAUAGUGUUUACUUAAGCUUAACUUUACCUCAGCAAUUCAAAGUCAAAUUCAAACCAUGUAAUGUGUCCAAAUUACAAAAAGUUUCCAACUACUACCGCUCCAUUACUUGAAGACUCAUUCGCAUGGAAAUACUAUGCUUAAAGCACACUUUUAGCUCCAUAUUUAAUCAAAAAAGUGAGCAGCAUCAUAUACGCUGGUGCAUCCAACAUACUAGUAUAAAAUGCAAAGAAAGAUAUUUGAUUGUAAUGAAGUGUUUUACCCAGAAGAUGGCAGUUAGGAUGCAUGUGGCCAGUUAGCGUGCCAUGAUACACAGUGAUGAUUGUGCCAGCUUUAAACACUUUUCCUCCUUAUUUGGUCAUAACCUUACAUUAUUAGAAACCAGUGGUAUACUACUAAGCUAACGAGUGCCAAUUUAACUGAGAGGACUUUUCUAUUAACUGAAGUCUUCUCAGUUAACGGCUGGGUACACCAUGUGGUAACAGUAGCUUGGGGUUUUGCAAACUACGCAGGUGGUAUUAGCUACACAGCUGCACAAAAUCGUCAUGUUGUGGUCUGAAUUAAGCAAUUAAAACCGUUUUUCCCCACCAACAGACCCCCCAAAACAUCCCUGCUGCAUCCCUUAUCAGAGUGUGGUUUAUACCCCAGAUGUUGCAGUGUACUACUUUAGCCUACUACUGAAUGACUCUGCCCAUGAACCGUCCUGACAUUUGAAAGAGAACACGGACAUUUACAGAUAAUGUUGAGACACUUCCUGUCUGUGUUCAAGCUGACUCAGGAGGUUCCUCUUUCCUUCCACUAAACCAGCCGUAGAGGUCACCUUUUGCACUCUGCAUGCUCAGGAAUUCCUAGAUGGACGAAAAGAUCAUAAGCACUGUGAAGCACCCUGUGUAGCAAUAUCCUCCUGCAGUCUAGGAAAUAGCAGUGUGAAGAUGACCUAUAACAUUGGAUGUAACUUCUUGUGGAGCUUUUCCAUGUACUGCUGUAAUUAAAGUUCACCACAAGAACAGGAGAUAGAAAAACUCCACCUGCAGUCAUUUCAUCUCCAACACCUCUGCGCCGUCUAACCCUUGCUGUGCCACCAGGAAUUAAAAAACUGUUGCCAUUUCACCUGCACUUAAAUGAACUGGAGCUUAAAGGAUAGUAUGAUGUCAAUUUACAGCAGGAGUUUCUGCUAGAUUAAUGCAUUGACCUUUUCAUCAGUUCUUCAUGCAUAUCAAAAGCAGAGGUCGCCUUGGGACAUCCAUUUUAAGGGCAGUUUAACAGCCUGUAGUAUUGACACCUAGAAGUCAGAUUGAGAUCACGCAUUAGAAAAUGAUAACCUAAGGAGGUGAAUAUACAAAAUGCAAGCCAAAUUUUCCAUCUGCUUCCACUCACUGACGUGACAUUUUGCAAUUAUUGGAGUCCCCCCCCCAGCCUUUAAUAAAAAGUGCAGUUUGAAGGUGUUUCUGCAUUGGCUUCACUUCAACAUGGAGAAAGGACAUCCACGUCUUAAACAAUACAGUCCACACUUUUCUUAGCAAAUGUGUUUGAUGAAGGAGUCCAUAUUCUGGUCACAUUUGGCUUCAUUACUGUCAAAAUUGUUGCGGCUCCAGUCUCACCCCUGCGAUAUUCCCUGAACUGUUUGUGAGCUUUGUAACAUUUCUCUCCGUGGUUCUUGCCUGGAGGUGGAAACUAAUUUGCAUGCUCAUUACUUCUAAUUACAUCAUGUAUUAUGUCCAUAAAUAAGAACAAAACAAGGCACCUUACCUAUCUUCUGUUCCUCUGCAGAACAUGCAAAUGAAUGAAAUUAGCAGAAAUACGACAGUAAAAUAUUAUGUUCAUAUUCAGUGUUUUCAAGCAGUGUUAGAAAUCUAACCUCAUCUGACUAGAGCAGAUGUCUUGCAUCUUUGGGUUCACUUUGGGAGCUUGUAUUUUUUGCUAUAAACAUUUUGGCCUAGUGGCAUUGGCAUGCCAGAAGCUGACAUUAUAUUAAGUGACCCGAUGUGAUACUUGCCCAACAGCACUGACAGCCUGCUCCCUCUCUAGAGAGGGCAGUUGUGGCAUCACACCACACUUGACCUGCUGCCCUCGCCAUAACAGGCCACCGGGGAGCUCAUGUAACCAAACAGAUGACGUAACACAAGGCAAGCUAGAAAUCGGUGACAGGGACGGUUGAAUUUAAAGCAGAAAACUGAAGGAAGCUGUUGAAAUUGAACAGACACUUAAGUUUAAAACAUAUAAAUUUAAUUAAAGCCAGAAUCAGCGAUGAACAGCACCUCUGCACAUGCUACAACCGUAAGGUGUAAAGAGGCUGCUGCUGGUUGGUGAGUUACAUGCUUGAACUUGUGCAGGCCAAGACUGUCAGCAUACAGGAACUAAUGCUGUAUAAAACAACAUCAGUGAAACAGUACACAAUGAAAAGUUAGUGUAAUUUGCCGAUGAUCUUGAAAGCUAUAGAAGGCAAAAAUAUAAGCAUUGAUAAAUUUAACGUGGGUUGAUCAUCAGUCCUGUAAAAUCUGGGACAAACCAUAUGCCGCAGGGUUUCCUCUACAUGUAAUUGAUUGCGGUGCAAAAGAAAAGCCCCCACACCUUAAAAAAUGAUCUUAUUUUUUUCCCCCACACAUUCGUUUGUUUGUGGCGGUCCACAGCACACUGGGGCACCAUGGGGUUAGUAUUGGCUGACAGGUAUUGGUGAGUUGUCAUUUGCUAUCACACAGCAGGUUAAUUAGUUAGGUCUGAUGUGUGUGUGUGCAAUGUUUGGUGGGUGUGGGGGCAUGUUAAGACCAUCAAAUUUGGGUGUUUUUAAGCAGAACUGAAGGAAAAAGAAAGGUAGAUGAGUGACAAAAUAUCAUGAAAGUGGAGAGUGGUAAUCUCCAGACAGUCUUUCUCUGGAGUUUUGCAAGACUGAGACCAUUGCUGUAGCAUUGGAUUGCUUGGGUUUUCAGUGGCAUUUCAUUCUAUUCCAGAUGAAGGUUUAACUGUAUUAUGAUUUAUAAUCAGAUGCUUUCUGUGUUGCACUGCCAAA